Molecule: ribosomal RNA, 483 nt
Filed under: uncultured bacterium
Lineage: Bacteria
Description: partial 16S ribosomal RNA
Rfam family: Bacterial small subunit ribosomal RNA
Source: RNAcentral
AUUGAACGCUAGCGGGAUGCUUUACACAUGCAAGUCGAACGGCAGCGCGGACUUCGGUCUGGCGGCGAGUGGCGAACGGGUGAGUAAUGUAUCGGAACGUGCCCAGUAGCGGGGGAUAACUACGCGAAAGCGUAGCUAAUACCGCAUACGCCCUACGGGGGAAAGCAGGGGAUCGUAAGACCUUGCACUAUUGGAGCGGCCGAUAUCGGAUUAGCUAGUUGGUGAGGUAACGGCUCACCAAGGCGACGAUCCGUAGCUGGUUUGAGAGGACGACCAGCCACACUGGGACUGAGACACGGCCCAGACUCCUACGGGAGGCAGCAGUGGGGAAUUUUGGACAAUGGGGGCAACCCUGAUCCAGCCAUCCCGCGUGUGCGAUGAAGGCCUUCGGGUUGUAAAGCACUUUUGGCAGGAAAGAAACGUCGCGGGCUAAUACCCCGUGGAACUGACGGGACCUGCAGAAGAAGCACCGGCUAACUACGU